AGAGCGAACGCUGGCGGCAGGCCUAAUACAUGCAAGUCGAACGAGCCCUUCGGGGCUAGUGGCGGACGGGUGAGUAACACGUGGGAACGUGCCUUUUGGUUCGGAACAACUCAGGGAAACUUGAGCUAAUACCGAAUGUGCCCUUCGGGGGAAAGAUUUAUCGCCAUUAGAGCGGCCCGCGUCUGAUUAGCUAGUUGGUGAGGUAAAGGCCCACCAAGGCUACGAUCAGUAGCUGGUCUGAGAGGAUGAUCAGCCACACUGGGACUGAGACACGGCCCAGACUCCUACGGGAGGCAGCAGUAGGGAAUCUUGCGCAAUGGGCGAAAGCCUGACGCAGCCAUGCCGCGUGAAUGAUGAAGGUCUUAGGAUUGUAAAAUUCUUUCAGCGGGGACGAUAAUGACGGUACCCGCAGAAGAAGCCCCGGCUAACUUCGUGCCAGCAGCCGC
This 446-nucleotide ribosomal RNA is filed under the name uncultured bacterium. Its description in RNAcentral is "SSU rRNA". It matches the Rfam family "Bacterial small subunit ribosomal RNA", at positions 26 to 518 of the family's 1533-position model. The record is from RNAcentral.